Molecule: transfer RNA, 71 nt
Filed under: Pelobates cultripes (western spadefoot toad)
Lineage: Eukaryota; Metazoa; Chordata; Amphibia; Anura; Pelobatidae
Description: tRNA.Cys
Rfam family: tRNA
About the family: Transfer RNA (tRNA) molecules are approximately 80 nucleotides in length.
Source: RNAcentral
GGGGGUAUAACUCAGUGGUAGAGCAUUUGACGGCAGAUCAAGAGGUCUCAAGUUCAAAUCUGGUGCCUCCU